Long non-coding RNA from Bombus impatiens (common eastern bumble bee), 1873 nucleotides. RefSeq lists it as uncharacterized. Lineage: Eukaryota; Metazoa; Arthropoda; Insecta; Hymenoptera; Apidae. The transcript is spliced from 4 exons. The record is from RefSeq and is a predicted model, not a curated record.
UUUUAUCCCUAGUCCAUGUGUAUUACAAUACACAUAAUUUGAUUUUGAUGCUAUGAUAAUAAGAGCUUGAAACAAAUAGAAAAUCAUGAAAAUCUUGUAUUUUCUUUGAUGAUAUGAAUCACUUCUGGUUCUGAACAUUGCUAGGAUCACAAAAAAAAAAAAAAGAAAGAAAAUAGAAGUGCAGCACCAUCGACACACUAUAUACACAUAUAUAUAUAUUUAAGGCGCACUGGAAGAACUAAAACAACAGACAGACUCAACCACUCACGAGACAUAUUUAUAUACUAAAUCGUCACUGCCUGUUACGGCAUCAAUCAAAUAUCAAUCAAGACUCCAUUUUACCUGAGUUCAGAAUGGAGCCUUGCGUGGGCCGAAAUAGUUGUAGAAGUAGUAGACGUAGUGUUAUAAACAGAGGAACAGAGAUAUAAGUUGCGUAUUAUUGAUAUAAUCGCUUGGACUCGUUCGUGUUAAUUUUGCUACAAAAUUCUGCUGAUUAUCAAUAAGGCUCGUUAAUUAACGUUAUCAAAGAGGCUCUGUAACAAGUGGUGGAGCUUUUUUUUGUAAAUAUCGCUGCUAAUAAACGCUAUAGUAAAGGCGGAUCUGAAGAAAAAAACAGAAAGCUUUAAUAAACGUUGCUAAAUAGUGGCAAAAAUCGUGCGUAAAAGUUGAACAUAGCGUGGUGACAUAACAGUAUGAUAGAAGCUGUAAAUAGAAUAAAUACGAAGUUCCAAUGUGUAGUGGUAAUUCGCUAAGAGGGAGAUCGGUUUUACCAAACAUCGUUAAGGAGAGUGAUCGAUCUGUUUGAUCGUGUCUGUUCUAAGUGAUUGAGCGAUUUCCUUGUAUGGUGUUCUUCUUUUUCAUACAUAGAAUUCAAUAGAAGUAAAUUUGAUUUCCAGUGGACACGAUAUAAGGAAACGCUAACGAUGGAUGACAUGAAAUCUCAAUAAUAAAAACGAACGAAAAAGGAAACGUAUGAAAUGAACAUCUUCCAUUAUUCAGAAACAACAUAUCUAAUACCAAAGGAGGACAUAACAGUGGAAUUUUAAGACAAUCAAAAACUAGGGCAAAUCUUAGAGUGACUAUCAUGGCAAGAAAUGAAUGAAUAGACUUUUUUCGUCGAAUAUAAUUCAAGAAAGCAAAAAAUCAAGGCAACGAGAAGUGAUCGUAAAACGUAUGUCGAUAUAUUAUUCUAAGACUAAGGUCCUCAAAACACAGUGCCAUUAAAAUUUAUCAAAGCGUUUAAAUAUUAUUAAUAAUUCAAAUUGUGAUUUAAGCAAACUAAGAUGUUGCAUUCAAUCAAAUGAUGGAUUCGCAUAAGAUUAUAAGUCAUAAAGAUAUCCAAACAAAAUUAGAAAAAAGUAAAAGGAAAAGAAAAAAAAAGAGAGAGAGAAAAAGAACUAAAACGUCGAUAAUUAAAAUUCGUUCGAACUUUUAAUGUAAAGUAGCAAUCCAUUUAGCGUAAAAUUCUGCGCCCAGGUAGCAAGCUCUGUCGUCGAUCAUAGAGCAGCGUUAAUAACGAAACAAAAUAAUAUUCCUUUUGCUAAAUUAGCUACGCCUUCAUCAACAUCAUGGCAAAAACGCUUGCGUAGCAAAAGAACUCUCUUGCAAGAAAUCUUGGGAAUUACCUCUUUGUUGGCGUGCUUAUGGUAGCACCGUUGGAGAUAUUGUUAAAAGUUAUUAUGAACAAUAGUAACAUGUUAAUUCUAUUGCCAUUACACAAUCGAAGAAUUAAGUGAUAUAUGCAAUCGAUCGAAUUAAUAAAAUGGAUUACUACAAAAUGAACGGUGAACUAAUGAAUGAGAAAAUGAAUUGUAUGAGUGAAUAUUUUGUGUGAAUAAUAAUAAAAAAAAAAGAAUCCUUCGUUUAUCGUUUA